RNAcentral lists this ribosomal RNA (484 nucleotides) under uncultured bacterium. RNAcentral describes it as "partial 16S ribosomal RNA". It matches the Rfam family "Bacterial small subunit ribosomal RNA", at positions 30 to 507 of the family's 1533-position model. The record is from RNAcentral.
AUUGAACGCUGGCGGCAGACCUAACACAUGCAAGUCGGGCGGAUGAAGGGAGCUUGCUCCUGGAUUCAGCGGCGGACGGGUGAGUAAUGCCUAGGAAUCUGCCUGGUAGUGGGGGAUAACGUCCGGAAACGGGCGCUAAUACCGCAUACGUCCUGAGGGAGAAAGUGGGGGAUCUUCGGACCUCACGCUAUCAGAUGAGCCUAGGUCGGAUUAGCUAGUUGGUGGGGUAAAGGCCUACCAAGGCGACGAUCCGUAACUGGUCUGAGAGGAUGAUCAGUCACACUGGAACUGAGACACGGUCCAGACUCCUACGGGAGGCAGCAGUGGGGAAUAUUGGACAAUGGGCGAAAGCCUGAUCCAGCCAUGCCGCGUGUGUGAAGAAGGUCUUCGGAUUGUAAAGCACUUUAAGUUGGGAGGAAGGGCAGUAAGUUAAUACCUUGCUGUUUUGACGUUACCAACAGAAUAAGCACCGGCUAACUUCGUG